UUUAAAAGAUGGUUCUGUUAUCACUCUUGGAUGGGACCCUGCGGUGCAUUAGCUAGUUGGUAAGGGCAACGGCUUACCAAGGCAAUGAUGCAUAGCCGAGUUGAGAGACUGAUCGGCCACAUUGGGACUGAGACACGGCCCAAACUCCUACGGGAGGCAGCAGUAGGGGAAUCUUCCACAAUGGACACAAGUCUGAUGGAGCAACGCCGCGUGAGUGAAGAAGGGUUUCGGCUCGUAAAGCUCUGUUGGUAGUGAAGAAAGAUAGAGGUAGUAACUGGUCCUUUAUUUGACGGUAAUUACUUAGAAAAGUCACGGGCUAACUACGUGCCCAGCAGCCGCGGGUAAAUA
This 348-nucleotide ribosomal RNA is filed under the name uncultured Lactobacillus sp. RNAcentral's name for it is "bacterial SSU rRNA". It matches the Rfam family "Bacterial small subunit ribosomal RNA", at positions 199 to 525 of the family's 1533-position model. Lineage: Bacteria; Bacillati; Bacillota; Bacilli; Lactobacillales; Lactobacillaceae. The record is from RNAcentral.